AGAUGUGAAAGACCCGGGGCGUCAAACCUACCGGAAUAGCAUUUGUAAACUAGGCAGACUAGAGUACUGUAGAGGGGGGUAGGAAUUUCAGGUGUAGCGGUGAAAUGCGUAGAGAUCUGAAGGAAUACCGGUGGCGAAGGCGGCCCCCUCGGACAGAUACUGACACUCAGAUGCGAAAGCGUGGGGAGCAAACAGGAUUAGAUACCCCUGGUAG
Molecule: ribosomal RNA, 214 nt
Filed under: uncultured bacterium
Lineage: Bacteria
Description: partial 16S ribosomal RNA
Rfam family: Bacterial small subunit ribosomal RNA
Source: RNAcentral